Long non-coding RNA from Girardinichthys multiradiatus, 965 nucleotides. RefSeq lists it as uncharacterized. The transcript is spliced from 4 exons. Lineage: Eukaryota; Metazoa; Chordata; Actinopteri; Cyprinodontiformes; Goodeidae. The record is from RefSeq and is a predicted model, not a curated record.
AGGCACCCCAUAGGCGGACCCACAUUGGCCCUGAAGCCAUUUGAGUCAAGCGUGAAUCAAAGGGAAUACUGCAUAGGGGGCGAAUUUUAGAUUGGAUAUUUAAAAUAAUCCAGGCUAUAGUUUAAGUUUAAGGGUGGACCAGCAACGCUUUUAUCUCUGUUCAUAAAAGAAAAAAGGAUAAAAAAGAAGUGAAGCGAAACAAUUUAGGGCAAAAGGAGACUUCACGUGAGAGCGAUAGGAGAGAGAAAACAGCUCCGUCUGUGGAUCACCCUGCUUUAAUGGAGAAAAUCUGCAUGGAGUCUUUUCACCGUGUUAAAAAUGGGACUGCAUGAGUCUGCACUGUGUAGCGUAUCCCUGCUGGCACAAGGCGUACUUUGAAGAGUGUGCUUCUCCCAACUCGGUAGCUGAUCAGAACCAGCUGAAUCUGGUGUGAAACAUUGAGUUGGUGUUGGAGGACUUCUGACUUCCUGCAGAGGUUGGUGUCUGUUUGGACUUGGCCUACCUUUUGGAAAAAGAUUGGGAGGUCACACGGUUUAAACGUCUGGUUUGAACUCCAUAUACACGUCCUGCGGGAUGUGUUGUUAUUAAGGCCCAGAUCUCAUUAUGAUGACCACAUCUUCUAUCGUCUUCCACAUCUAGCAGGGCGUCAACAUUAACACAAAGCCAACAUCCGCCCCCCUGUACUAGUGCUGAUGUGGCACUUGUUAAUGGUGCCAGCAUGUCUCAGUCCUGACUAAGGAAGAUAUGGUCUCACAUUAACCAGCAAUGGGGAAGAAAAACAAACAUUCUGGUGGCUGAUCAUCUGUUGAAUUGGUGGGAAUCUGCAACUCAAAGCAUUACGACCGCUGACCUAACAACAAUGCAUUAGAAGGAACUGCAGAAGCCUGUUUUGUUAAAUGGUGUUUGAUGGCUUUAAUAAACAUUUUCCAUUACGCCCAGGAACCAAGAAGAAAGGAAAGAGCUCA